GUGGGCAACCUGCCUGUAAGACUGGGAUAACUUCGGGAAACCGGAGCUAAUACCGGAUAAUCCUUUUCUACUCAUGUAGAAAAGCUGAAAGACGGUUUCGGCUGUCACUUACAGAUGGGCCCGCGGCGCAUUAGCUAGUUGGUGAGGUAACGGCUCACCAAGGCGACGAUGCGUAGCCGACCUGAGAGGGUGAUCGGCCACACUGGGACUGAGACACGGCCCAGACUCCUACGGGAGGCAGCAGUAGGGAAUCUUCCGCAAUGGACGAAAGUCUGACGGAGCAACGCCGCGUGAGUGAUGAAGGUUUUCGGAUCGUAAAACUCUGUUGUUAGGGAAGAACAAGUACAAGAGUAACUGCUUGUACCUUGACGGUACCUAACCAGAAAGCCACGGCUAACUACGUGCCAGCAGCCGCGGUAAUACGUAGGUGGCAAGCGUUGUCCGGAAUUAUUGGGCGUAAAGCGCGCGCAGGCGGUCCUUUAAGUCUGAUGUGAAAGCCCACGGCUCAAC
This 510-nucleotide ribosomal RNA is filed under the name Bacillus sp. SCAUE9016. RNAcentral's name for it is "bacterial SSU rRNA". It matches the Rfam family "Bacterial small subunit ribosomal RNA", at positions 117 to 613 of the family's 1533-position model. The record is from RNAcentral. Lineage: Bacteria; Bacillati; Bacillota; Bacilli; Caryophanales; Bacillaceae.